GACACUGUGGCCGAGUGGUUAAGGCGAUUGACUAGAAAUCAAUUACAGUUUCUGUGCGCAGGUUCAAAUCCUGCCGGUGUCG
Non-coding RNA from Caulochytrium protostelioides, 82 nucleotides. The record is from the annotation of a GenBank genome assembly. Lineage: Eukaryota; Fungi; Chytridiomycota; Caulochytriomycetes; Caulochytriales; Caulochytriaceae.